GAGGAUAUCCGGUAUUUGUUGGUGCAGUGAUAUCCCUAGGCCUGUUUACAAGGUUGCACCAAAAGCUUUGAAGACUUGUCUUCUAGGAAGGGAAACAAAAUUCUUAAAUUUUCAUCUGAUGUCUAUAAAAAAACAUGUAAAUCACAGAAAGAGAGGUUUCCAACUUAAGCUAAGGGUUCUGCAACUAAUCCGGACAGUAGUUCAGCAUUUGUUUUCUUCAAAAUGCAUGAUUGAGCCAAGUGUUUCCUGCCUUGUCCAACAUGAGAUUUUUGCAGGGUCCCUGUUUUACCCACAGCUGAAAGUGAUUUGAGAAGAGGAAAUCCAUGUCCAACCAAGUUUCCAAUUCCUCAUAAAAAUACUUAAAGCUUUCAGCACUCCAUCAUCCAUUACCAUUACCAGAUUACCACUCACAAAGUUGAACAAUACAUGGCUGCUUCACUGCUCCAUAUUACUAUAUAAACAAGCUCCAAUCACAAAGUUAAACAAUACAUGGCUCCUUCACUGCUCCAUGUUACUAUAAAAACAAACUUCAAUGCUGACGGUGUAAACAAUACAUGGCUGCUUCACUGCUCCAUGUUACUAUAAAAACAAACUCCAAUGGUGACGGUGCAUCCUCUGUAGGAACAAGGGGAGUCAUCAAACCAGUAAUCCACCAAAUUUUGCAGUGACAAGAUCUUAAUCUUCUUCUCAUUGUCUCAGUGUUCCUGAAUAUCUGAAAUCAUAAAGCAAGAAGGGAACUCCGCAAGCUACUGAAGCAACCGAGCCAGUGUGGAAGAAUUUCUUUCACUCUUCAAUCAAAUAUGCAUCCCUUUUACUUUGGCAACUCCUCAAAUCAGCUACGAAUGGUGUUAAAAGCAAUUAAAACUUGGAUGAUUUGUCCUUGAGAACCUUUAUAAAUAUAGGAACUUUUGGAAAAGAAGAGUAAGUUGAUGAUUGUCCUCGAUCUGAUGGUGUUCUUGUCCGCACCAGCAACCCUCUAUAGGUUUUCCUUUCCAUGAAAAAUAAC
Molecule: long non-coding RNA, 1006 nt
Filed under: Populus tremula
Lineage: Eukaryota; Viridiplantae; Streptophyta; Magnoliopsida; Malpighiales; Salicaceae
Description: long non-coding RNA (PTRE_LNC001913)
Source: RNAcentral